AAAUAAAGAGAGCUAUCGUCGACAGUAGGGAUAUAAUUCACUGUCAUGGAAAUUGCUCUCUUUAUGUAC
Molecule: microRNA precursor, 69 nt
Filed under: Anopheles funestus (African malaria mosquito)
Lineage: Eukaryota; Metazoa; Arthropoda; Insecta; Diptera; Culicidae
Description: mir-46/mir-47/mir-281 microRNA precursor family
Rfam family: mir-46/mir-47/mir-281 microRNA precursor family
About the family: The hairpin precursors (represented here) are predicted based on base pairing and cross-species conservation -- their extents are not known. In this case the mature sequences are expressed from the 3' arms of the hairpin precursors.
Source: RNAcentral